This 502-nucleotide ribosomal RNA is filed under the name uncultured bacterium. RNAcentral's name for it is "bacterial SSU rRNA". It matches the Rfam family "Bacterial small subunit ribosomal RNA", at positions 28 to 507 of the family's 1533-position model. The record is from RNAcentral.
GACGAACGCUGGCGGCGUGCCUAACACAUGCAAGUCGAGCGGUUCUUAAGCUGUAGUUUACUAUAGCUUAAGAAUAGCGGCGAACGGGUGAGUAACACGUGGGCAACCUGUCCGAAAGAAUCGGGAUAACAGUCCGAAAGGGCUGCUAAUACCGAAUACGCUUACCGGGUCGCAUGAUCCGGUAAGGAAAGGUCGGCAACUUCCGCUUUCGGGUGGGCCCGCGUCCCAUUAGCUAGUUGGUAGGGUAACGGCCUACCAAGGCAACGAUGGGUAGCUGGUCUGAGAGGAUGGUCAGCCACACUGGGACUGAGACACGGCCCAGACUCCUACGGGAGGCAGCAGUGGGGAAUCUUGCGCAAUGGGCGAAAGCCUGACGCAGCGACGCCGCGUGAGCGAGGAAGGCCUUCGGGUCGUAAAGCUCUUUCAGCCGGGAAGAAAACGCACUCUCUAACAUAGGGUGUGGAUGACGGUACCGGAAGAAGAAGCACCGGCUAACUACGUG